RNAcentral lists this long non-coding RNA (202 nucleotides) under Homo sapiens (human). Its description in RNAcentral is "HSALNT0231260". The record is from RNAcentral. Lineage: Eukaryota; Metazoa; Chordata; Mammalia; Primates; Hominidae.
AAGUUGAUCUGGUGCCUUGGUCACUCGUGGCUUCUUUCUUCUAUGCCAGCUCUGUCUUCUCUACACUUCCUCUGGAGGAGUAGGCCUUGACACAAUUACAAGAAGUCAGGGACCCUGAACAGAGGGACCAGCUGAAGUCACAGCAGAAGAACAUAAAUUGUGAAGAUUUCAUGGACAUUUAUUAGUUCCCCAAAUUAAUACU